UACGAAGGGGGCUAGCGUUGCUCGGAAUCACUGGGCGUAAAGCGCACGUAGGCGGACUGUUAAGUCGGGGGUGAAAUCCUGGGGCUCAACCCCAGAACUGCCCUCGAUACUGGCGGUCUUGAGUGUGGAAGAGGUUGGUGGAACUCCGAGUGUAGAGGUGAAAUUCGUAGAUAUUCGGAAGAACACCAGUGGCGAAGGCGGCCAACUGGCCCAUUACUGACGCUGAGGUGCGAAAGCGUGGGGAGCAAACAGG
RNAcentral lists this ribosomal RNA (253 nucleotides) under uncultured bacterium. RNAcentral describes it as "partial 16S ribosomal RNA". It matches the Rfam family "Bacterial small subunit ribosomal RNA", at positions 524 to 776 of the family's 1533-position model. The record is from RNAcentral.